UGAAGUAGGUGAGGUGAUCGCUCCUCCGAUUUCGAGGAGGGGAGGAAAGUCCGAACUCCACAGGGCAGGGUGGUCGCUAACGGCGACUCGNNNNNNNNNNNNNGUGACUGGGGUAGCUCGGCAAACCCCACCCGGAGCAAGACCAAAUAGGGGAGGAUUCAGAUGAGAGAUGUGAGGGUGAGCAUGGGAGGUUUUCUCCUCACAUCUCAACUCUCGAUCUCAAAACUGAAAAUGGUGGCCCGCCAGAGCCUCCCGGGUAGGUCGCUCGAGCCAUUCAGCAAUGGAUGGCCCAGAUGAAUGAUCACCGCCCCGUGGGGAGCAAUCCCCAUGGGGGACAGAAUUCGGCUUAUUGUCUGCUUCAGCCC
RNAcentral lists this RNase P RNA (365 nucleotides) under Pseudomonadota bacterium. RNAcentral's name for it is "Proteobacteria bacterium (marine sediment metagenome) RNase P RNA component class A". It matches the Rfam family "Bacterial RNase P class A". Rfam says of the family: Ribonuclease P (RNase P) is a ubiquitous endoribonuclease, found in archaea, bacteria and eukarya as well as chloroplasts and mitochondria. Its best characterised activity is the generation of mature 5'-ends of tRNAs by cleaving the 5'-leader elements of precursor-tRNAs. The record is from RNAcentral. Lineage: Bacteria; Pseudomonadati; Pseudomonadota.